Molecule: ribosomal RNA, 429 nt
Filed under: Chloroflexota bacterium
Lineage: Bacteria; Bacillati; Chloroflexota
Description: Chloroflexi bacterium partial 16S ribosomal RNA
Rfam family: Bacterial small subunit ribosomal RNA
Source: RNAcentral
UGGGGAAUAUUGCACAAUGGGCGCAAGCCUGAUGCAGCCAUGCCGCGUGUAUGAAGAAGGCCUUCGGGUUGUAAAGUACUUUCAGCGGGGAGGAAGGGAGUAAAGUUAAUACCUUUGCUCAUUGACGUUACCCGCAGAAGAAGCACCGGCUAACUCCGUUCCAGCAGCCGCGGUAAUACGGAGGGUGCAAGCGUUAAUCGGAAUUACUGGGCGUAAAGCGCACGCAGGCGGUUGAUUGAGUCAGAUGUGAAAUCCCCGGGCUUAACCCGGGAAUUGCAUCUGAUACUGGUCAGCUAGAGUCUUGUAGAGGGGGGUAGAAUUCCAUGUGUAGCGGUGAAAUGCGUAGAGAUGUGGAGGAAUACCGGUGGCGAAGGCGGCUCUCUGGUCUGUAACUGACGCUGAGGCUCGAAAGCGUGGGGAGCAAACAGG